GAAGCUUUAUUGAAGAUGAAGGAAGGUCCUUCGAAAUCGGUUUUCAGGAGCAGGUUUCAAACCACCUUAAGUGGCUCUAUUUAAGAGAUAGGGUCAUAAGCGUUAAGGAAAAAUCAGCGUAAGAGCUGGAAGGUGAGGAUCAGAAAGGCGAACGUAAGUGAACCACUGAUGAACGUGUCGAAAUGGGAAGUGAACAUCGAAAGGGGGAGUGAGUCGUUCUCCUCUUAAUGAGCUUACAAGAAACCUGAUUACUGUGUAGGUGGUGUUCGGCAUAAAGGUAGCGCGAGUCUGAUCUGGGCUUUAAUAA
This 307-nucleotide non-coding RNA is filed under the name Wolbachia endosymbiont of Armadillidium vulgare str. wVulC. Lineage: Bacteria; Pseudomonadati; Pseudomonadota; Alphaproteobacteria; Rickettsiales; Anaplasmataceae. The record is from RNAcentral.